Molecule: long non-coding RNA, 586 nt
Filed under: Mytilus galloprovincialis (Mediterranean mussel)
Lineage: Eukaryota; Metazoa; Mollusca; Bivalvia; Mytilida; Mytilidae
Source: RNAcentral
GGUAGGAACGAAAAAAUAAAAUAAAAUAAAAUCUUGCUGGUAAAUACAAAUAAAAGAUUUUCAGGCGGAACGAAUUGAUAGGGUCGGUCGGUAAAGGGCAAACAAACAAUAUUUUAAUUUAAGCCUUGAGGCCCGCGUAGUAAUAUCAAAAUCAAACAUUACGCUGAAGACGGGUUCACAAAAAAAGAAUCUCCAAUGGUCAACAAUAAUACAUCGCUCAAGGUGAAUAAUUAUCUAUUUCAACAUAACAACUAAUUUUAACAGUAAAAACAAGUAACAAAACAUUGUCAAAUUUGAAACAGAAGUGUACGAGUUGUCCUACGCUUCAGACUUGACAUUCACUAAACAUGCAUGCUGAAAUUGACAUGGUUGAUUUUGUAACACAAUCAUACACAUUCAAGUUUUGAAUUGGAAUGCAACUGGAAUACACAUUCUGAGGUCACACAGGUUCAAACAAUACUCAGUCCGGCAGUGGGCGGAGCUUUAAAGCGAUAUCUGUAUAGUAUACAGAUACAGCAUAGCGAUAUCUGUAGGGCUGUAUCUGUAUAGUAGGACACCCAAUUGCAGGAUAAAAAUGUAUAAUUGU